GACUAACGCUGGCCGCGUGCUUAACACAUGCAAGUCGAACGGAAAGGCCCUGCUUUUGUUGCUUGUUCGAUUGGCGAACGCGUGAGUAACACGUGAGUAACCUGCUCUUGAGUUUGUGAUAAUUUCACGAAACUUGGGCUAAUACCGGAUUGGAGCUCCUUCUGCAUGUUGGGGGUUGGAAAGUUUCCGCGGUUGUGGAUGGACUCGCUGCUUAUCAGCUUGUUGGUGGGCUAGUGGCUUACCAAGGCUUCGAUGGGUUGACGGCCUGAGAGGGUGACCGGCCACAUUGGGACUGAGAUACGGCCCAGACUCCUACGGGAGGCAGCAGUGGGGAAUAUUGCACAAUGGGCGGAAGCCUGAUGCAGCAACGCCGCGUGCGGGAUGACGGCCUUCGGGUUGUAAACCGCUUUCGCCUGUGACGAAGCGUGAGUGACGGUAAUGGGUAAAGAAGCACCGGCUAACUACGUG
RNAcentral lists this ribosomal RNA (468 nucleotides) under uncultured bacterium. RNAcentral describes it as "partial 16S ribosomal RNA". It matches the Rfam family "Bacterial small subunit ribosomal RNA", at positions 28 to 507 of the family's 1533-position model. The record is from RNAcentral.